RNAcentral lists this ribosomal RNA (253 nucleotides) under uncultured bacterium. Its description in RNAcentral is "partial 16S ribosomal RNA". It matches the Rfam family "Bacterial small subunit ribosomal RNA", at positions 524 to 776 of the family's 1533-position model. The record is from RNAcentral.
UACGUAGGGCGCAAGCGUUGUCCGGAAUUAUUGGGCGUAAAGAGCUCGUAGGCGGCUUGUCGCGUCGAUUGUGAAAGCCCGGGGCUUAACUCCGGGUCUGCAGUCGAUACGGGCAGGCUAGAGUGUGGUAGGGGAGAUCGGAAUUCCUGGUGUAGCAGUGAAAUGCGCAGAUAUCAGGAGGAACACCGGUGGCGAAGGCGGAUCUCUGGGCCAUUACUGACGCUGAGGAGCGAAAGCGUGGGGAGCGAACAGG